AUUGAACGCUGGCGGCAGGCCUAACACAUGCAAGUCGAGCGGCAGCGGGAAAGUAGCUUGCUACUUUUGCCGGCGAGCGGCGGACGGGUGAGUAAUGCCUGGGAAAUUGCCCAGUCGAGGGGGAUAACAGUUGGAAACGACUGCUAAUACCGCAUACGCCCUACGGGGGAAAGCAGGGGACCUUCGGGCCUUGCGCGAUUGGAUAUGCCCAGGUGGGAUUAGCUAGUUGGUGAGGUAAUGGCUCACCAAGGCGACGAUCCCUAGCUGGUCUGGAAGGAUGAUCAGCAACAAUGGAACUGAGACACGGUCCAGCCUCCUACGGGAGGCAGCAGUGGGGAAUAUUGCACGAUGGGGGAAACCCUGAUGCAGCCAUGCCGCGUGUGUGAAGAAGGCCUUCGGGUUGUAAAGCACUUUCAGCGAGGAGGAAAGGUUGAUGCCUAAUACGUAUCAACUGUGACGUUACUCGCAGAAGAAGCACCGGCUAACUCCGUGCCAGCAGCCGCCGUAA
This 508-nucleotide ribosomal RNA is filed under the name uncultured bacterium. RNAcentral describes it as "partial 16S ribosomal RNA". It matches the Rfam family "Bacterial small subunit ribosomal RNA", at positions 30 to 523 of the family's 1533-position model. The record is from RNAcentral.